This 328-nucleotide unclassified non-coding RNA is filed under the name Apis florea (little honeybee). RNAcentral describes it as "zwei Ig domain protein zig-8-like, transcript variant X2". Lineage: Eukaryota; Metazoa; Arthropoda; Insecta; Hymenoptera; Apidae. The record is from RNAcentral.
UGGUCAAUAAUAUUUUAACCGAUUGCAAUUGCAAUUCUUUUUCCAGGGAGCCAGGCGGAGCAUCAACAAUCGUUGAGCGCCAACAACGAAGUGGCGAAGAGAUCCGCCGGAGAGGAUAAAAGCGAAGAUGUCAUCGAAGGCCCCAUCAGGGAAGUUCUUGCACAAAGCGGAAGCACCGCGAAUUUGCCGUGCAAAAUUACCGAACCAGGCGCUGGAACCAUCACGUGGAUGAAACGAAGAACAGGCGGUUGUUAACCGUGGGCAAGAGCACCCACUCGGUCGACAAACGAUUCGUCGUGAUUCACUCGAGUACCGAUUGGUUGCUGCA